RNAcentral lists this ribosomal RNA (812 nucleotides) under uncultured Campylobacter sp. Its description in RNAcentral is "bacterial SSU rRNA". It matches the Rfam family "Bacterial small subunit ribosomal RNA", at positions 406 to 1232 of the family's 1533-position model. The record is from RNAcentral. Lineage: Bacteria; Pseudomonadati; Campylobacterota; Epsilonproteobacteria; Campylobacterales; Campylobacteraceae.
GGAUGACACUUUUCGGAGCGUAAACUCCUUUUAUCAGGAAAGAAUAAUGACGGUACCUGAUGAAUAAGCACCGGCUAACUCCGUGCCAGCAGCCGCGGUAAUACGGGGGGUGCAAGCGUUACUCGGAAUCACUGGGCGUAAAGGACGCGUAGGCGGAUUAUCAAGUCUUUUGUGAAAUCUAGUGGCUUAACCACUAAACUGCUUAGGAAACUGAUAGUCUAGAGUAGGGGAGGGGUAGAUGGAAUUCUUGGUGUAGGGGUAAAAUCCGUAGAGAUCAAGAAGAAUACCCAUUGCGAAAGCGAUCUGCUGGAACCUAACUGACGCUGAGGCGUGAAAGCGUGGGUAGCAAACAGGAUUAGAUACCCUGGUAGUCCACGCCCUAAACGAUGUAUACUAGUUGUUGCUUUGCUAGUCAAGGCAGUAAUGCAGCUAACGCAUUAAGUAUACCGCCUGGGGAGUACGGUCGCAAGAUUAAAACUCAAUGGAAUAGACGGGGACCCGCACAAGCGGUGGAGCAUGUGGUUUAAUUCGAAGAUACGCGAAGAACCUUACCUGGACUUGACAUCCUAAAAACAUCUAAGAGAUUAGAAAGUGCUAGUUUACUAGAAUUUAGUGACAGGUGCUGCACGGCUGUCGUCAGCUCGUGUCGUGAGAUGUUGGGUUAAGUCCCGCAACGAGCGCAACCCACGUGUUUAGUUGCUAACAGCUCGGCUGAGCACUCUAAACAGACUGCCUUCGUAAGGAGGAGGAAGGUGUGGACGACGUCAAGUCAUCAUGGCCCUUAUGUCCAGGGCGACACACGUGCUACAAUG